This 439-nucleotide ribosomal RNA is filed under the name uncultured bacterium. RNAcentral describes it as "partial 16S ribosomal RNA". It matches the Rfam family "Bacterial small subunit ribosomal RNA", at positions 339 to 795 of the family's 1533-position model. The record is from RNAcentral.
CUACGGGAUGCACCAGUGGGGAAUAUUGCACAAUGGAGGAAACUCUGAUGCAGCAACGCCGCGUGGAGGAUGACACUUUUCGGAGCGUAAACUCCUUUUAUAUAGGAAGAAGAUGACGGUACUAUAUGAAUAAGCGCCGGCUAACUCCGUGCCAGCAGCCGCGGUAAUACGGAGGGCGCAAGCGUUACUCGGAAUCACUGGGCGUAAAGAGCGUGUAGGCGGAUUAAAAAGUCAGAAGUGGAAUCCUAUAGCUUAACUAUAGAACUGCUUCUGAAACUCUUAAUCUAGAAUAUGGGAGAGGUAGAUGGAAUUUCUGGUGUAGGGGUAAGAUCCGUAGAGAUCAGAAGGAAUACCGAUUGCGAAGGCGAUCUACUAGAACAUUAUUGACGCUGAGACGCGAAAGCGUGGGGAGCAAACAGGAUUAGAUACCCUUGUAGUC